Molecule: ribosomal RNA, 500 nt
Filed under: uncultured bacterium
Lineage: Bacteria
Description: partial 16S ribosomal RNA
Rfam family: Bacterial small subunit ribosomal RNA
Source: RNAcentral
AUUGAACGCUGGCGGCAUGCUUUACACAUGCAAGUCGAACGGCAGCACGGACUUCGGUCUGGUGGCGAGUGGCGAACGGGUGAGUAAUACAUCGGAACGUACCCAGUAAUGGGGGAUAACUAUCCGAAAGGAUAGCUAAUACCGCAUACGCCCUACGGGGGAAAGAGGGGGAUCGCAAGACCUCUUGUUAUUGGAGCGGCCGAUGGCUGAUUAGCUAGUUGGUGGGGUAAAGGCCUACCAAGGCAACGAUCAGUAGCGGGUCUUAGAGGACGAUCCGCCACACGGGAACUGAGACACGGUCCAGACUCCUACGGGAGGCAGCAGUGGGGAAUCUUGGACAAUGGGCGCAAGCCUGAUCCAGCAAUGCCGCGUGCGUGAAGAAGGCCUUCGGGUUGUAAAGCGCUUUUGUCAGGGAGCAAAUCCUUGUGGCUAAUACCCACCGGGGAUGAGAGUACCUGAAGAAUAAGGACCGGCUAACUACGUGCCAGCAGCCGCAGUAA